GACGAACGCUGGCUGCGUGCUUAACACAUGCAAGUCGAAGGGAAACGCCCUGCUUUCGUGGUUUGCUCGAGUGGCGAACGGGCGAGUAAGACGUACGCAACCUGCCCUUGACUUUGGGUUAACUUCAGGAAACUGGGGCUCAUACCGGAUAGGAGUUCCUUCUGCUUGGUGGGGGUUGGAACGUUUCGGAGGUUGGGGAUUGACUCGCGGCUUAUCAGCUUGUUGGUGGGGUAGUGGCUUACCAAGGCUUUGACGGGUAGCGGGCCUGAGGGGGUGACCGGCCCCAUGGGGAAAGAGAUACGGCACAGAGUACUACGGGAGGCAGGAGAGGGGAAUAGUGCACGAUGGGCGGAAGCCUGGUGCAGCAACGCCGCGUGCGGGAUGACGGCCUUCGGGUUGGAGGCCGCAUACGCCUGUGACGAAGCGUGAGUGAAGGUAAUGGGUAAAGAAGCACCGGCUAACUACGUG
Molecule: ribosomal RNA, 468 nt
Filed under: uncultured bacterium
Lineage: Bacteria
Description: partial 16S ribosomal RNA
Rfam family: Bacterial small subunit ribosomal RNA
Source: RNAcentral